UGCAAGUCGAACGCGAAAGUUUCUUCGGAAAUGAGUAGAGUGGCGCACGGGUGAGUAACGCGUGGAUUAUCUACCUAUUGGUACGGGACAACAGUUGGAAACGACUGCUAAUACCGUAUAAGCUGGUAACGGGAAAGGGGGCCUCUUCUUGAGAGCUCUCGCCAGUAGAUGAGUCCGCGUUUCAUUAGCUAGACGGUGGGGUAACGGCCUACCGUGGCAACGAUGAAUAGCAGGCCUGAGAGGGUGGCCUGCCACACUGGGACUGGAACACGGCCCAGACUCCUACGGGAGGCAGCAGUGGGGAAUAUUGCGCAAUGGACGAAAGUCUGACGCAGCGACGCCGCGUGGAGGAUGAAGGUUUUCGGAUCGUAAACUCCUGUCAAGAGGGAAGAAACCUAUCAAAAAUAAUACUUUUGGUAAUUGACGGUACCUCUAGAGGAAGCACCGACUAAUUCAGUGCCAGCAGCCGCGGUAAUACUGAAGGUGCAAGCGUUAAUCGGAAUCACUGGGCGUAAAGCGCU
This 521-nucleotide ribosomal RNA is filed under the name uncultured bacterium. Its description in RNAcentral is "bacterial SSU rRNA". It matches the Rfam family "Bacterial small subunit ribosomal RNA", at positions 56 to 569 of the family's 1533-position model. The record is from RNAcentral.